This 212-nucleotide long non-coding RNA is filed under the name Elaeis guineensis (African oil palm). RNAcentral's name for it is "long non-coding RNA (EGUI_LNC001787)". The record is from RNAcentral. Lineage: Eukaryota; Viridiplantae; Streptophyta; Magnoliopsida; Arecales; Arecaceae.
UCAAUAUAAUAAUAAUAAAUGAGAAACUAACAAUGAUUGCUCUUCGUAUAAAUCAUAUGCCAAAACCUAUCAUGAUUUAUAAAACAUGCAUAGCUAAUAUAUCUUUUUGCCCAAUAAAUCACGUUAUAUAAUUAUCUCAAGAUAACAUAUAUCAGAUUUGAUCAUAUUAAGGUGCUCGGCUUUAGACUACCAUAGCCAUGUUUUAAGCCCAU